This 93-nucleotide ribosomal RNA is filed under the name Clostridium sp. AF46-12NS. Its description in RNAcentral is "partial 23S ribosomal RNA". It matches the Rfam family "Bacterial large subunit ribosomal RNA", at positions 2833 to 2925 of the family's 2925-position model. RNAcentral also lists the same sequence under 1 other name. The record is from RNAcentral. Lineage: Bacteria; Bacillati; Bacillota; Clostridia; Eubacteriales; Clostridiaceae.
ACCCCUUGAAGACUACGAGGUAGAUAGGAAUGAGGUGUAAGCACAGCAAUGUGUUCAGCUGACAUUUACUAAUCGGUCGAGGGCUUGACCAAA